UGGAAGCUUUCUAACUCUAAUCUCAACCAGUCAAAAUCUUGUUAGAUUAUAUCUGGGUCAAUUACUGUCUUUUCUACAGAAUGCAUCUCCCGAACAAAAGCAAGUUAAGGAGCAACGAAAUUUUUUUUUAAAUAAAAACAAAACCAAUUGAUACCAAAAUUCAAUGCAGUUUCUUAACCAUUUAUUAAAAUAAUUAAAAGUGAAACAUUUACAAUUUUUCAUAUUGCAUAUAAAACACAAAAAUUAAAUU
Bradysia coprophila is the source of this 250-nucleotide long non-coding RNA. NCBI's taxonomy places the organism in Eukaryota, Metazoa, Arthropoda, Insecta, Diptera, Sciaridae. The record is from RefSeq and is a predicted model, not a curated record.